AAACUUACCUUUGUUUGUUAAUCAAGACUUCUGAUUGGUAUGAGAUGUAUAUUUAAAUUAAUUUAAUUACUCUUUUUUUUAAAACUUAACUAUAAUUGUUUAAUUUACAAUUUAAAGAUAUGCGAAAGUAUGAGAGCGACAUUCAACCACAAAAGCUGAAAAUAAACUAACAACGUCAUGGCUAAAGAAAAAAAAAGAAAAUCAGAC
RNAcentral lists this long non-coding RNA (207 nucleotides) under Mytilus galloprovincialis (Mediterranean mussel). Lineage: Eukaryota; Metazoa; Mollusca; Bivalvia; Mytilida; Mytilidae. The record is from RNAcentral.